Molecule: ribosomal RNA, 2100 nt
Filed under: Salmonella enterica subsp. enterica serovar Haduna
Lineage: Bacteria; Pseudomonadati; Pseudomonadota; Gammaproteobacteria; Enterobacterales; Enterobacteriaceae
Description: partial 23S ribosomal RNA
Rfam family: Bacterial large subunit ribosomal RNA
Source: RNAcentral
GAAAGCUAUUUAGGUAGCGCCUCGUGAAUUCAUCUCCGGGGGUAGAGCACUGUUUCGGCUAGGGGGCCAUCCCGGCUUACCAACCCGAUGCAAACUGCGAAUACCGGAGAAUGUUAUCACGGGAGACACACGGCGGGUGCUAACGUCCGUCGUGAAGAGGGAAACAACCCAGACCGCCAGCUAAGGUCCCAAAGUCAUGGUUAAGUGGGAAACGAUGUGGGAAGGCCCAGACAGCCAGGAUGUUGGCUUAGAAGCAGCCAUCAUUUAAAGAAAGCGUAAUAGCUCACUGGUCGAGUCGGCCUGCGCGGAAGAUGUAACGGGGCUAAACCAUGCACCGAAGCUGCGGCAGCGACACUGUGUGUUGUUGGGUAGGGGAGCGUUCUGUAAGCCUGCGAAGGUGGCCUGUGAGGGUUGCUGGAGGUAUCAGAAGUGCGAAUGCUGACAUAAGUAACGAUAAAGCGGGUGAAAAGCCCGCUCGCCGGAAGACCAAGGGUUCCUGUCCAACGUUAAUCGGGGCAGGGUGAGUCGACCCCUAAGGCGAGGCCGAAAGGCGUAGUCGAUGGGAAACGGGUUAAUAUUCCCGUACUUGGUGUUACUGCGAAGGGGGGACGGAGAAGGCUAUGUUGGCCGGGCGACGGUUGUCCCGGUUUAAGCGUGUAGGUGUGUGUUCCAGGUAAAUCCGGUUCACUUUAACACUGAGGCGUGAUGACGAGGCACUACGGUGCUGAAGCAACAAAUGCCCUGCUUCCAGGAAAAGCCUCUAAGCAUCAGGUAACAUCAAAUCGUACCCCAAACCGACACAGGUGGUCAGGUAGAGAAUACCAAGGCGCUUGAGAGAACUCGGGUGAAGGAACUAGGCAAAAUGGUGCCGUAACUUCGGGAGAAGGCACGCUGACACGUAGGUGAAGUGAUUUACUCACGGAGCUGAAGUCAGUCGAAGAUACCAGCUGGCUGCAACUGUUUAUUAAAAACACAGCACUGUGCAAACACGAAAGUGGACGUAUACGGUGUGACGCCUGCCCGGUGCCGGAAGGUUAAUUGAUGGGGUCAGCGCAAGCGAAGCUCCUGAUCGAAGCCCCGGUAAACGGCGGCCGUAACUAUAACGGUCCUAAGGUAGCGAAAUUCCUUGUCGGGUAAGUUCCGACCUGCACGAAUGGCGUAAUGAUGGCCAGGCUGUCUCCACCCGAGACUCAGUGAAAUUGAACUCGCUGUGAAGAUGCAGUGUACCCGCGGCAAGACGGAAAGACCCCGUGAACCUUUACUAUAGCUUGACACUGAACAUUGAGCCUUGAUGUGUAGGAUAGGUGGGAGGCUUUGAAGUGUGGACGCCAGUCUGCAUGGAGCCGACCUUGAAAUACCACCCUUUAAUGUUUGAUGUUCUAACGUGGACCCGUGAUCCGGGUUGCGGACAGUGUCUGGUGGGUAGUUUGACUGGGGCGGUCUCCUCCUAAAGAGUAACGGAGGAGCACGAAGGUUGGCUAAUCCUGGUCGGACAUCAGGAGGUUAGUGCAAUGGCAUAAGCCAGCUUGACUGCGAGCGUGACGGCGCGAGCAGGUGCGAAAGCAGGUCAUAGUGAUCCGGUGGUUCUGAAUGGAAGGGCCAUCGCUCAACGGAUAAAAGGUACUCCGGGGAUAACAGGCUGAUACCGCCCAAGAGUUCAUAUCGACGGCGGUGUUUGGCACCUCGAUGUCGGCUCAUCACAUCCUGGGGCUGAAGUAGGUCCCAAGGGUAUGGCUGUUCGCCAUUUAAAGUGGUACGCGAGCUGGGUUUAGAACGUCGUGAGACAGUUCGGUCCCUAUCUGCCGUGGGCGCUGGAGAACUGAGGGGGGCUGCUCCUAGUACGAGAGGACCGGAGUGGACGCAUCACUGGUGUUCGGGUUGUCAUGCCAAUGGCACUGCCCGGUAGCUAAAUGCGGAAGAGAUAAGUGCUGAAAGCAUCUAAGCACGAAACUUGCCCCGAGAUGAGUUCUCCCUGAGACUUAGAGUCUCCUGAAGGAACGUUGAAGACGACGACGUUGAUAGGCCGGGUGUGUAAGCGCAGCGAUGCGUUGAGCUAACCGGUACUAAUGAACCGUGAGGCUUAACCUUACAACGCCGAAG